Molecule: long non-coding RNA, 216 nt
Filed under: Lathyrus oleraceus (garden pea)
Lineage: Eukaryota; Viridiplantae; Streptophyta; Magnoliopsida; Fabales; Fabaceae
Description: Pisum sativum (pea) long non-coding RNA (PSAT_LNC028645)
Source: RNAcentral
UCCACUAUAACAACAGCCUCUUGGUCUUCGACCGUGUGGAUGAAACCACCACUCUGGAACAAGCCACACUCAUUGAAAGUGCCUGAAGAGUACCCUAUGCCAGCCCAAGAUUUAUUGUCUUCCAGCUUAAUCAUUUGUCCUAAACCAGUAGUUGCACCAUGCUCAAUGGCCAACUUCGCAUCAUUGUAGGACGCAAAUGAAGAAGUUCAUUUCCUU